AGCUUCAUGGCAGGGGGUUGGAACUAAGUUGACUAGUUCAAUGAUGAUGAGGGGGCAUUCUUCUUAAUAAAAUAAAAGAGUUCAGUUAUAAUAGUAUAACUAGUCAACUUAGUUCUAACCCCCUGCCAUGAAGCUG
Molecule: non-coding RNA, 136 nt
Organism: Podarcis lilfordi (Lilford's wall lizard)
Lineage: Eukaryota; Metazoa; Chordata; Lepidosauria; Squamata; Lacertidae
Source: the annotation of a GenBank genome assembly